AAACAGAGAGCUGAAAAGUUGCACAUUUCCAUUGCACCUAGAAUGAGCAAAUCAGCUGUGCAUCAUCUCUGGGAUUUGGGCAGGAAAUGACCGAAUAUGAUGAGUACUGACACCUGCACCUGUAUUCACCAACACCAUUUCUCUAGAGUUAUUGUUGACUUAUUGUUUUGUCUGUUUGUUUGAAGGAGGAUGAAGCCAGUUGAUGAAGAAAUCAAUUCAAUGGCCACCAAGUGCAGCACUGCUGCCUGAACCCAUCAGGUAUCUGCUGUGAAGACUGCAUUCGCAAACAGCUCUACUGCGACAGCGCAGAUGUUACGGCACAUAAAAGUAAAUUUCACAACUGGACAACUGCAAGAUAGUUGUGGAGGGAUUCUUUUGGCCCAUACCUCCAACAACCUUCAACAAGAAUCAAUGGACAUCUACACCAGGUGGUGUGUGAGGAGGACCGUCAGAGACUCCAGCCACCCGAGCCAUGGAUUGCUCUCACCGUUACCAUCAGGCAGAAGUUAUCACAGAACCUUCACCAGCAGACUGCGAGACAAGUUCUUUCCACAGGCAAUCAGACUGAACUGAACUCGUACCAGUAACACCACACCAGCCUCAUAUGCACUGCACUCUAUCACUUACACUGACUGGACUCUGACUCACUAUUAUUCUGCACCCUGACAUUCUGUUUGCACUAAUUCAUACCGUGCUGCACUGCAAAGGUAUAUGUGUACUGUCAUUAUUAUGUUUAUUAUUGUUUUCAUUUCACGCUCUCUGUAUAGCAUAA
Long non-coding RNA from Sinocyclocheilus rhinocerous, 772 nucleotides. RefSeq lists it as uncharacterized. The transcript has 3 exons. Lineage: Eukaryota; Metazoa; Chordata; Actinopteri; Cypriniformes; Cyprinidae. The record is from RefSeq and is a predicted model, not a curated record.